AAGUUAAUGAUUUCUGUGGAAAAAGUGAAGCUCAGUUAAGUAAAACACAGCAACUGAAGAAGUAGAUGGUAUAAAAUAAUCACAAAAAGUAAAUGCUCAAUUUAGUCAUGUGCAAUGUAAAAAAUGCUGUAACAAUUGUGUAGCAUUUUAGAAAGGAUUGCAAGUCAAAAUCUAUUUUAUUGUUAUUAACAAAACCCCAGACACAGAGGUUUGGGUAAAUUAGGAAAAUGUUCAUUUAAUUUAUGAACCAAAUGACUAAACUCAAAGCUUUCCUAAUCAGUCUCAACUUGCAUUCUCCAGAAGGAGAAAACCCAAAUUAGAAAGAUAGGUUAUUGAAGUUGUGUGUGUACUGGCUGGAUGAAAUAACUGUGAAAAGUUAAAGGCAAUUUUUAUUUUAUACAGUAAGAAUGAGUGUAAAGAGAAACUACAGGUCGGGGGAGGGUUGAGACUGUAGAUGGAAUGAAGGCAGAUAGAGAUCACAGGAGUAAAGGCAGAAUUGAAAAGGAGAGAUUUAAAGAGCUUGUGGAAGACGACAUAAAAAUGACAGCUCAUAUGAUUAGGUUUGUGAAAUUACAUUAAAGCUGCUUUAAAUGGUUGACUUGUAGAGGAGACAGCAGGAGAGUAACAAGGGAAUAGAAGAAUCUGAAAUGUUACAGAAAAAAGAUGAUACAAGGGAAGAGGAAAGAAUUGAAAUACACUGGAAGAUGCAAAAACAGAAGGACAGGUACUGAGAAUGAAGGUAUUCUUAUAGGUAAACAAAAGGACAGGUACUGAGAAUGAAGGUAUUCUUAUAGGUAAACAAAAGGACAGGUACUGAGAAUGAAGGUAUUCUUAUAGGUAAACAAAAGGACAGGUACUGAGAAUGAAGGUAUUCUUAUAGGUAAACAGAAGGACAGGUACCAAGAAUGAAGGUAUUCUUGUAGGUAAAAGGAAAAAAAGAUGUAAGAGUAGCACAGAAGCCGAAUGAGAGGAAACAGACUCAAGACACAGAAUGGGACAGUAGCAGUGACUGACAUUGAAAAAAGAACACAAUGUGAAGUUCUUUAAAGAACUGUAAAAGAGGGAAGUAAGAGAAGAGGUGUGGAUACAUUAACCUUAAGAGUAGACAAAAUUAGAGAAAGAAUGCAAGUUGUUUGAUGAAAAAUGCCAUUAUGAUGAGGCUAAAACAGCAAUAGGGUGACAAAGAAGGGGUAAAGCAGACACAGAUGGAUACAAACAGAAAUAAAAUUAUUCAGAAGCAAAUCAAGGAGGGAUGGGGGACUCAGUGUGUUGACAGUUUUUUUUUCCAGUUUGUACUGUAAGGUCUGGUAGUGCUACCCCCAUUCAUCCACACUGCCCUGCCCUCAAUGUAUCCAGCCCACUGAAAUUCAGUCUGAGAUGUCCACAGUCACUCUUAACUGGCAUUUAUUAGCCAUUAUUCACUGCAACAAGCCCCUGUUAUACCUGAUCAAGGUAGUCAGUCCCACAGAGGUCCAUUAGCAAACACCACACAAAGACCACCACCAUAACAUUUUAAACAACGCAAAGAUGUUAUUGCUCAAUUCUACGAAUCUAAACAAGAAACUGUACUUGCUAAAAGCUUUUUUCACUGUGGAGAAUGCAAACAUUUGAGCAUUUAGACCAGCUACUGCACAGGCAUGGAGUAAAGCUGGAGAUGUCACUUUACAUCAAAAGCAUGCCUCGGGGCUGAUCAAACAAGAUGUGCUUCAGCUUCCCCACAUGCAAAUUACCAUAGGAAAGUCACGUACUAUAUCCUUAGAAGCUGUAGGUCCACCUCUGUCACCUAGGAAAUGCAUAACACAGUUUACUGGAUCUCCUCGCCAGUCAUCCCAAUAACAUAUUCAUGGGUGACUACCCUACUAUAAACUGGGAUCCAUACACUGUCCCAAGCUUGCAAGCCCAGAGAUUGCUGCACUUUGUCAACACAAGCACCCUAGACCCAACAGUCCAAAUGCCCACUAGGAGUAGGAACAUAAGGUGAUGUAGUCAUCACUAGCAUGGGAGAAUGCUGCACCCACCCUAUGUAAUGUCCUCUUUGGUGAGGACAAACCAUUUUAAGGCAAAUGUCGUACUAUCAAGUAGUAGCCUGGCAAAAUUUGAUGCCCCACCAAAAACUCUUAAGAACACUGACCUGUACAACCGUGUUAGAGGCACAGAGACAUUUCUGCUUACCAGGAAUAACCACAGAACAAAUUCAUACAAGCCAGCCUGAUGGUAUCCUAUCAACAAGAUGCACAGCAAAAGGAAGAAAGUCAUAGCAAAAAUUAGGAAGUGCAACAUCCAGCAGGAUUAAAAAAAAAAAUCUAAACAUGAAACUCAGAGGACAGAUUAAGUCACUAUACAAAUCUUUCCUGUUCGGGUGGUACCAUCCCAUAUCAUACCAACAUCUGCUCCCUUCCCCAACACAAGUAUACCAUUGCCGUAUCAGACAGCUUGAGUGACAACAGAACUAUUCUAAUACAGCUGAUGCAAUUCAAAUGGGAAAUUAAGGUAAUGGCUGCAGAGCAUUGAUUCACUGUUCUCAGUGAGGUUAGCAUAGAUAUUUCACAACAGGCUGUGUUCAUAAGAUACAAGGUAGCAAAAACAGCUACUAAGAAAAAAACAGCUUGUCAAAGUUGUACUACUGUACACAGUUAGAUUUGACUCUACAACUUCAAUAAUAGCAAUAAACCUAGUGCAUGUUACAACUGGAAUUUAGCAGAUUUCUAAACUGCAUGCAGCAUCAGCAUUACACAUAAAAUGAAAAUGUACAAUGCAAAACGCCAGACUGGUACUCAGUUACAAAACAGGCUGUAAUACUACCCCCACAGCUUCCAGUGCGGUAUAGCUUUACAGAAAAAAAAAAAAAGAAAACUGUUGCUGAAAAUGUUAAAAAAAUAAACUGACUACAGCCAGUUUAUCAUGCAGGGUUCUCAGCAGAACUUUAUCACAGUAACACAAUGAAGACCAGUUAUAAAGGAAAAAGGCCAGAUGCAGCAGUAUACUAUACUAUGUAUACUGGGUCAACUGUAAAAAAAAAAAAAAAAUAAAAAUCAUGUCUCAUGUUAGACUUUCAUUACAUGAUUUGCACACAAUACAACAGGGUAUUUAACAAUAAAAUACAGAGUGCAAGAAAGUCAGAGCUUCCAGACAGUGUUUCUUGAAUCUGAUUUCACAAUUUUAGUAGCUUAAAUGGUUGGCACUGUAUAUAGACAACAUAAUACAACUAAAUAGUUACACAGUGAACUAUACAGGAUUGAACCUGUACCAUAACAUAAACUUAGAAAUCAUAUCCAGAGGCACCGACUUUAUUCCAUCUUUUAUGCAGAGGUGAAAUUGACCUGCCCCCCUCCACACAGUUUCUACCAUUACAAAAAACACAGACUUCUCUAAAAAUUAUCUUAAGUUAACCACUACAUGAUCAGUACACCAAAAGUAAUGCAAUCACAUUACAAUCAUGAAUUCAUCUACCAUGGCUAACAAUCAAAGGCUACAUAGUGAUUUGGCUUCAAUCCUGUUAAUACCACUCAAAUACUACAAAGAAAUCACAUGUGCCUGCCCCUC
Molecule: long non-coding RNA, 3543 nt
Organism: Protopterus annectens (West African lungfish)
Lineage: Eukaryota; Metazoa; Chordata; Ceratodontiformes; Protopteridae
Exons: 2
Source: RefSeq, a predicted model, not a curated record